Molecule: long non-coding RNA, 226 nt
Filed under: Ananas comosus (pineapple)
Lineage: Eukaryota; Viridiplantae; Streptophyta; Magnoliopsida; Poales; Bromeliaceae
Description: long non-coding RNA (ACOM_LNC034113)
Source: RNAcentral
GGAAUAUAUGGGCCUAUUUCGAUUAGAUUCUGAAAAAAUAAUUUAUGCAGAAUUGAUUUUGAUUUGAAAAAAUAACUUUCGCUAAAAACUAUAGAGAGUUUGACUGAUUGAAUUUAGAUAAAAGUGAUUUUUCUGAAGUGAUUUUGUAAAACUGUUUAGCAAAAAAAAUUUAAUAUUUGCAUAUAAAGUUUACUUUAGGGUAUUUAUGAAAUUUUGAAGUUUCUGU